GAUGAACGCUGGCGGCGUGCUUAACACAUGCAAGUCGAACGGAAAGGCCCAAGCUUGCUUGGGUACUCGAGUGGCGAACGGGUGAGUAACACGUGGGUGAUCUGCCCUGCACUUCGGGAUAAGCCUGGGAAACUGGGUCUAAUACCGGAUAGGACCACAUUUUGGAUGGUGUGGUGGAAAGUUUUUCGGUGUGGGAUGAGCUCGCGGCCUAUCAGCUUGUUGGUGGGGUAAUGGCCUACCAAGGCGUCGACGGGUAGCCGGCCUGAGAGGGUGUACGGACACAUUGGGACUGAGAUACGGCCCAGACUCCUACGGGAGGCAGCAGUGGGGAAUAUUGCACAAUGGGCGCAAGCCUGAUGCAGCGACGCCGCGUGGGGGAUGACGGCCUUCGGGUUGUAAACUCCUUUCGCUAGGGACGAAGCGUUUUUGUGACGGUACCUGGAGAAGAAGCACCGGCUAACUACGUG
This 467-nucleotide ribosomal RNA is filed under the name uncultured bacterium. RNAcentral's name for it is "partial 16S ribosomal RNA". It matches the Rfam family "Bacterial small subunit ribosomal RNA", at positions 28 to 507 of the family's 1533-position model. The record is from RNAcentral.